UCAGAACGAACGCUGGCGGCGUGCUUAACACAUGCAAGUCGAACGCGAAAGGGACUUCGGUCCUGAGUAAAGUGGCGGCACGGGUGAGUAACGCGUAGAUAACCUGUCUUCAUGUCUGGAAUAAUACGCCGAAAGGGGUACUAAUACCGGAUAUUCUUGCUUUUCAUAAGUUAUGCAAGCAAAGGUGGCCUCUGCAUAUGCUACUGCAUGAAGAGGGGUCUGCGUACCAUUAGCUAGUAGGUGGGGUAAUGGCCUACCUAGGCGACGAUGGUUAGCGGGUCUGAGAGGAUGAUCCGCCACACUGGCACUGGAACACGGGCCAGACUCCUACGGGAGGCAGCAGUGAGGAAUAUUGCGCAAUGGGGGAAACCCUGACGCAGCGACGCCGCGUGAGUGAGGAAGGCCUUCGGGUCGUAAAGCUCUGUCAAGAGGAAAGAAGUGUACAAUGGCUAAUACCUGUUGUAUUUGACGGUACCUCUAAAGGAAGCACCGGCUAACUCCGUGCCAGCAGCCGC
RNAcentral lists this ribosomal RNA (515 nucleotides) under uncultured bacterium. RNAcentral's name for it is "bacterial SSU rRNA". It matches the Rfam family "Bacterial small subunit ribosomal RNA", at positions 24 to 518 of the family's 1533-position model. The record is from RNAcentral.